GAGUAGCUGGUAUUACAGGCGUGUGCCACAAAGCCUGGCUAAGUUUUGUAUUUUUAGUAGAGACGGGGUUUCACCAUGUUGGCCAGGUUGGUCUCGAACUCCUGACCUCAAGUGAUCCACUCACUUUGGCCUUUCAACGUGCUGGGAUUACAGGCGAGAGUCACCGCACCCGGACGACUCUGACAUUUUUGAAGAGUCCAGAAUCCUGUUACACCUGGGAUUUAGGCACUUUCAAUCUGAAAAAAUACAUAUCCUUUCAGCACUCUGGACGGACUUGAGAACUGUCCUUACGUGACCUAAAGCUGGAGUAUUUUGAGAUUGGAGAAUUAAGAGCCAGUCUUGGUGCUCUGUGUUCACCUGGUUCAUCUGAGGAGCUGCAUCUACCCUGCCCAUGCCAUAGAUCCUGCCCUGUUUGCUUCUCCUGUUGCUGCUAGUGGACAUGAGGACAGAAUAACGGGCUCCCAGAUUCACAAGCCCCACCAAGAGGAUCACCCCAGGAACGCUUGGAGGCUGAGGAGUUCACUGAGGCUACUGCAUCUUGAGACUCAGGAUGAAGACCCAGCUUGGGGCUGUCAAAGGUUUUUUGCAUGUCUGACACCCAUGACUCCACCUGGACCUUAUGGCUCCACCCAGAAGCAAUUCAGCCCAACAGGAGGACAGCUUCAACCCAUUACGAUUUCAUCUCUGCCCCAACCACUCAGCAGCAAGCACCUGUUACCUGUCCACCCCCACCCCUUCCCCCAAACUGCCUUUGAAAAAUCCCUAACCUAUGAGCUUUGAAUAAGAUGAGUACGAACUUCAUCGCCCACGUGGCGUGGCCGGCCUCGUGUCUAUUAAAUUCUUUUUCUACUACAA
This 855-nucleotide long non-coding RNA is filed under the name Homo sapiens (human). RNAcentral's name for it is "Pvt1 oncogene". The stretch from base 202 to 331 matches the Rfam family "Pvt1 oncogene conserved region 5". The record is from RNAcentral. Lineage: Eukaryota; Metazoa; Chordata; Mammalia; Primates; Hominidae.